UACGGGGGGGGCAAGCGUUGUUCGGAAUUACUGGGCGUAAAGGGCUCGUAGGUGGCCAACUAAGUCGGACGUGAAAUCCCCAGGCUUAACCUGGGAACUGCGUCGGAUACUGGAUGGCUUGAAUUCGGGAGAGGGAUGCAGAAUUCCAGGUGUAGCGGUGAAAUGCGUAGAUAUCUGGAGGAAUACCGGUGGCGAAGGCGGCAUCCUGGACCGGUAUUGACGCUGAGGCGCGAAAGCCAGGGGAGCAAACGGG
Molecule: ribosomal RNA, 253 nt
Filed under: uncultured bacterium
Lineage: Bacteria
Description: partial 16S ribosomal RNA
Rfam family: Bacterial small subunit ribosomal RNA
Source: RNAcentral